UACGGGGGGAGCAAGCGUUGUUCGGAUUUACUGGGCGUAAAGGGCGCGUAGGCGGCCAGCACAAGUCAGUUGUGAAAUCUCCGAGCUUAACUCGGAAAGGUCAACUGAUACUGUGCGGCUAGAGUGCGGAAGGGGCAACUGGAAUUCCUGGUGUAGCGGUGAAAUGCGUAGAUAUCAGGGGGAACACCGGUGGUGUAGACGGCUUUCUGGACCGUAACUGACGCUGAGACACGAAAGCGUGGGUAGCAAACAGG
RNAcentral lists this ribosomal RNA (254 nucleotides) under uncultured bacterium. RNAcentral's name for it is "partial 16S ribosomal RNA". It matches the Rfam family "Bacterial small subunit ribosomal RNA", at positions 524 to 776 of the family's 1533-position model. The record is from RNAcentral.